Molecule: long non-coding RNA, 225 nt
Filed under: Capsicum annuum
Lineage: Eukaryota; Viridiplantae; Streptophyta; Magnoliopsida; Solanales; Solanaceae
Description: long non-coding RNA (CANN_LNC010196)
Source: RNAcentral
AUAUAAUUGUCUUAAUUUUUUCUUUAUUAUUUCUACCUUAUCUAUUGAAAAUAUAGUUAUUUCUUUUUUAUUUAUCAAAAAUACUACUAGUUCUAUUGUGUCUUAUGUACUUUUUAUAUUUUCUAACUUUUGUGUAAUUUUUUUACUUCCUUUUAUCCAAUCAGUUUUCUUUCUUAUUUUAUUAAUAACUCUUUUUACUCUUACUUUUUGUUUACAUGGUGUUGU